Molecule: long non-coding RNA, 451 nt
Filed under: Carica papaya (papaya)
Lineage: Eukaryota; Viridiplantae; Streptophyta; Magnoliopsida; Brassicales; Caricaceae
Description: long non-coding RNA (CPAP_LNC008675)
Source: RNAcentral
UCAAAAAAACAUUGUUUCACUUGCUUCUAUUCUUCCUUCAUUCAUAUCAAAACGACGUCGUUUUUGGGGUUUUUCAAAAUGACGUUGUUUUGGCUUUUCCUAUUUCUAAGAAGCAGGUGGGUUGGGUUUGUUACAGUUAUUGUAGCAUCCCUAAACCCUGGCCACAAGGGAGGAGCUAGGAGAAAGAGGGACAACAUAGUGGAAUGUCGGGAUGAAGGAUUGUUAUCGCGAAGGGAGAGAGGCCACUGAGAGUGAAAGAAAUGAGAGACAGAGAGAGGGACCCGACAACCGAGAAGAAGCAAUAUUGGGGAGAGAGAUAGAGUGGAAAAGGGACGCGACAGGGAAAGAAGAAGAAGAAGAAUUCGUCAUUGUUAUGUUUGUACAUAAUUACGAGGAUGCAAUUAAUUUAAUAGGGAGAAUUUAUAUACCACCAUCAUCUAUAUUAAGGGCU